GUCGAGGAUCUUCGGCAAUGGGCGCAAGCCUGACCGAGCGACGCCGCGUGUGCGAUGAAGGCCUUCGGGUUGUAAAGCACUGUCGAGGGGGAGGAAAGCCCGCAAGGGUCUGACCUAUCCCUGGAGGAAGCACGGGCUAAGUUCGUGCCAGCAGCCGCGGUAAGACGAACCGUGCAAACGUUGUUCGGAUUCACUGGGCUUAAAGGGCGCGUAGGCGGCUUGCCAAGUCAGGGGUGAAAUCUUUCGGCUCAACCGGAAAAUUGCUUUUGAUACUGGCGAGCUGGAGGGAGGUAGGGGCAGAUGGAACUUCCGGUGGAGCGGUGAAAUGCGUAGAUAUCGGAAGGAACGCCGGUGGCGAAAGCGAUCUGCUGGAUCUCUACUGACGCUGAGGCGCGAAAGCCAGGGGAGCAAACGGGAUUAGAAACCCUAGUAGUCC
This 436-nucleotide ribosomal RNA is filed under the name uncultured bacterium. Its description in RNAcentral is "bacterial SSU rRNA". It matches the Rfam family "Bacterial small subunit ribosomal RNA", at positions 354 to 796 of the family's 1533-position model. The record is from RNAcentral.